Molecule: transfer RNA, 74 nt
Organism: Tistrella mobilis KA081020-065
Lineage: Bacteria; Pseudomonadati; Pseudomonadota; Alphaproteobacteria; Geminicoccales; Geminicoccaceae
Rfam family: tRNA
About the family: Transfer RNA (tRNA) molecules are approximately 80 nucleotides in length. Their secondary structure includes four short double-helical elements and three loops (D, anti-codon, and T loops).
Source: Rfam
GGGCCUGUAGCUCAGGUGGUUAGAGCACACGCCUGAUAAGCGUGAGGUCGGUGGUUCGAGUCCACCCGGGCCCA